GUGGGGAAUAUUGGACAAUGGGCGAAAGCCUGAUCCAGCCAUGCCGCGUGUGUGAAGAAGGUCUUCGGAUUGUAAAGCACUUUAAGUUGGGAGGAAGGGUAGUAACCUAAUACGUUGCUACUUUGACGUUACCGACAGAAUAAGCACCGGCUAACUUCGUGCCAGCAGCCGCGGUAAUACGAAGGGUGCAAGCGUUAAUCGGAAUUACUGGGCGUAAAGCGCGCGUAGGUGGUUCAGUAAGUUGGAAGUGAAAUCACCGGGCUCAACCUGGGAACUGCUUUCAAAACUGCUGAGCUAGAGUACGGUAGAGGGUGGUGGAAUUUCCUGUGUAGCGGUGAAAUGCGUAGAUAUAGGAAGGAACACCAGUGGCGAAGGCGACCACCUGGACUGAUACUGACACUGAGGUGCGAAAGCGUGGGGAGCAAACAGGAUUAGAAACCCUGGUAGUCC
Molecule: ribosomal RNA, 450 nt
Filed under: uncultured bacterium
Lineage: Bacteria
Description: partial 16S ribosomal RNA
Rfam family: Bacterial small subunit ribosomal RNA
Source: RNAcentral